Molecule: long non-coding RNA, 472 nt
Organism: Thunnus maccoyii (southern bluefin tuna)
Lineage: Eukaryota; Metazoa; Chordata; Actinopteri; Scombriformes; Scombridae
Exons: 3
Source: RefSeq, a predicted model, not a curated record
UUACAGAUGAACAAAAGAUGAAGAGUUCUAGGAGAGAGAUCAGGGAAUGUGACCUACUUCUUUCAUUGGUUUCUGAAGGGAAGUUUUGAAGCCUGGAGUGGGUGGCAGGGUGCAUUUUUGUUAAUGGAGUCAGAAAAUCCAGAUUUUGGUUUUGCAAUAAAAGGACUGAGCUGUGGAGGGACAUCCAAGCAGCAAAGACCACAGCUGUGAGCAGCCAGGCGGCCACACCAGGAGACAGGAAGUCAGGAACAAGAAAUAUGAUGAUGUCACCAUCCUGGGACAGAGAAUGAGGCCGCUGGUCCUGUGUGGCACAGGUUCAGCAAACGUCCAAAUGUCCUUCGCCCUGCAAUGGCACCAACAUGUGUAGUCUAGAAAACAAGAACCAGUCUGAGACAGGAGUCUCCUCUGAAUUUAAAUUUAAUUUUAGUCCAGUGCUGGAAAGAUGGACCGACAACAGGAGUGUUUGAAAAUU